RNAcentral lists this ribosomal RNA (497 nucleotides) under uncultured bacterium. Its description in RNAcentral is "partial 16S ribosomal RNA". It matches the Rfam family "Bacterial small subunit ribosomal RNA", at positions 28 to 507 of the family's 1533-position model. The record is from RNAcentral.
GACGAACGCUGGCGGCGUGCCUAAUACAUGCAAGUUGAGCGCCGAAGGUUGGUACUUGUACCGACUGGAUGAGCAGCGAACGGGUGAGUAACGCGUGGGGAAUCUGCCUUUGAGCGGGGGACAACAUUUGGAAACGAAUGCUAAUACCGCAUAAAAACUUUAAACACAAGUUUUAAGUUUGAAAGAUGCAAUUGCAUCACUCAAAGAUGAUCCCGCGUUGUAUUAGCUAGUUGGUGAGGUAAAGGCUCACCAAGGCGAUGAUACAUAGCCGACCUGAGAGGGUGAUCGGCCACAGUGGGACUGAGACACGGCCCAAACUCCUACGGGAGGCAGCAGUAGGGAAUCUUCGGCAAUGGACGAAAGUCUGACCGAGCAACGCCGCGUGAGUGAAGAAGGUUUUCGGAUCGUAAAACUCUGUUGGUAGAGAAGAACGUUGGUGAGAGUGGAAAGCUCAUCAAGUGACGGUAACUACCCAGAAAGGGACGGCUAACUACGUG